Molecule: ribosomal RNA, 465 nt
Filed under: Vreelandella stevensii
Lineage: Bacteria; Pseudomonadati; Pseudomonadota; Gammaproteobacteria; Oceanospirillales; Halomonadaceae
Description: partial 16S ribosomal RNA
Rfam family: Bacterial small subunit ribosomal RNA
Source: RNAcentral
CCUACGGGAGGCUGCAGUGGGGAAUAUUGGACAAUGGGGGCAACCCUGAUCCAGCCAUGCCGCGUGUGUGAAGAAGGCCCUCGGGUUGUAAAGCACUUUCAGUGAGGAAGAACGCCUGGUGGUUAAUACCCAUCAGGAAAGACAUCACUCACAGAAGAAGCACCGGCUAACUCCGUGCCAGCAGCCGCGGUAAUACGGAGGGUGCGAGCGUUAAUCGGAAUUACUGGGCGUAAAGCGCGCGUAGGUGGCUUGAUAAGCCGGUUGUGAAAGCCCCGGGCUCAACCUGGGAACGGCAUCCGGAACUGUCAAGCUAGAGUGCAGGAGAGGAAGGUAGAAUUCCCGGUGUAGCGGUGAAAUGCGUAGAGAUCGGGAAGAAUACCAGUGGCGAAGGCGGCCUUCUGGACUGACACUGACACUGAGGUGCGAAAGCGUGGGUAGCAAACAGGAUUAGAUACCCGUGUAGUC